GACGGAAGGUGCAAGCGUUGCUCGGAAUCACUGGGCGUAAAGGGUGCGUAGGCGGCCGUGCAAGUCUGGCGUGAAAGCCCCGGGCUCAGCCCGGGAAGUGCGCUCGAAACUGCGCGGCUCGAGUGCCGGAGGGGAGAGUGGAAUUCCUGGUGUAGCGGUGAAAUGCGCAGAUAUCAGGAGGAACACCGGUGGCGAAGGCUAGUCUCUGGACAGUUACUGACACUGAGGCACGAAGGCCAGGGGAGCAAACGGG
This 253-nucleotide ribosomal RNA is filed under the name uncultured bacterium. RNAcentral's name for it is "partial 16S ribosomal RNA". It matches the Rfam family "Bacterial small subunit ribosomal RNA", at positions 524 to 776 of the family's 1533-position model. The record is from RNAcentral.